RNAcentral lists this ribosomal RNA (253 nucleotides) under uncultured bacterium. Its description in RNAcentral is "partial 16S ribosomal RNA". It matches the Rfam family "Bacterial small subunit ribosomal RNA", at positions 524 to 776 of the family's 1533-position model. The record is from RNAcentral.
UACGUAGGGUGCAAGCGUUGUCCGGAAUUAUUGGGCGUAAAGAGCUCGUAGGCGGUCUGUCGCGUCGGCUGUGAAAACUCGGGGCUCAACCCCGAGCCUGCAGUCGAUACGGGCAGACUAGAGUGCUGUAGGGGAGACUGGAAUUCCUGGUGUAGCGGUGAAAUGCGCAGAUAUCAGGAGGAACACCGGUGGCGAAGGCGGAUCUCUGGGCCUUACCUGACGCUGAGGCGCGAAAGCUAGGGGAGCAAACAGG